UACGUAGGGGGCUAGCGUUGUCCGGAAUCAUUGGGCGUAAAGCGCGCGUAGGCGGUCAGGUAAGUCCGGUGUGAAAGUCAAAGGCUCAACCUUUGAAUGCCGCUGGAUACUGCCUGACUUGAGUCCGGAAGGGGCGAGUGGAAUUCCUGGUGUAGCGGUGAAAUGCGUAGAUAUUGGGAGGAACACCAGUGGCGAAGGCGGCUCACUGGACCGGAACUGACGCUGAGGCGCGAAAGCGUGGGGAGCAAACAGG
RNAcentral lists this ribosomal RNA (253 nucleotides) under uncultured bacterium. Its description in RNAcentral is "partial 16S ribosomal RNA". It matches the Rfam family "Bacterial small subunit ribosomal RNA", at positions 524 to 776 of the family's 1533-position model. The record is from RNAcentral.